RNAcentral lists this long non-coding RNA (4181 nucleotides) under Sus scrofa (pig). RNAcentral's name for it is "lncRNA (ENSSSCG00040074235.1)". Lineage: Eukaryota; Metazoa; Chordata; Mammalia; Artiodactyla; Suidae. The record is from RNAcentral.
CCAGGCAUCAGGUGGACUGAGAUAAUGUCAGGGAAGCUCAGUAGGGUACCUCUCAGGCCCUAAUGAGAAAUACAAAGGAGCGAAUCAUGCAGACUUUCUAUAGAGCCUUUCGAAAGCCCCAAAGAAUGUCACGCCUACCCUCACAGCAAGAGAAUCAUAACGUUUGUUGAACCCAUCAGCAAUCUGAGGCUGCAGGGCAACCAAGCAGACUGAGAUCGAAGGGAAGACGGGCCCUUCCAAGGCAUGUUGGGACACAAACGCUGAAUCAACCGCAGUGGAGCACAGGCGGAAGGGGCCAGGUGCCGCACCAAUGGGUAAGAAGGACUGAGGCAAAAACUUCCACAAACCUCUCAAGAUCCAGAGAGGGCUCCUCUGAGAGUUUAGAACCGCAUGUGGGUGCAAAUUCCUGCCUGCAAGCUCUGCUCCAUGGCCCUCCACUGAGAGCUCACACAAAAAAGGAGACACAGAUUGGGAAAUGAGAGCAAGCUUCACAGGAUGGAGGGCUGCCUCCGUGGCAGACACACAGCUCAGUGCUCAGCACGCUCGCCUCCUCUGGAGUAAAGAGGUGAAGACAGUUUCUUGUAAAGUUAAACAUCACGCUUAUCACACGACAGUCAAUCCCACUCCUAGGUGGUUGCCUGAGAGCAAUGGAAACUUAUCAUCAUGUCAAACUUGAAUAUGAAUUCUUAUGGCAGCUUUAUUCGUGAUCACAAAUCAAAUUACAGGAAACCGUCCAAAUGUCCUUCGACCAGGGGCGGGAUAAACAAACCGUGGUACGUCCAUACGUGAACGACUACGUGGCAAUAAAAAGAAGUGAAUUACUGAUACAGGCAACCAUGGAGUUCAAUCUCAAAUGCAUUAUUCACGGAAAGAAGCCAGACCCAGACGGCUGCAAACGGCAUGAUUCCAUUUAUACGAUAUUCUAGAAAGGCAAAAUCGCAGGGGCAGAAAACAGAUCAGGGAUGCCAGAGCCAGGAGAUGGGUAGAAGGAUUGAGGCUUCGAGGGGUGUAAGGGACUUUUUGUGAUGAUGUGGUUACACAACUCUGUGCCUUUGUUGAGACUCUUAGAACCAUACUCCAAGAAGGACGAUUUUACUCUAUGCGAUGUAUACCUUAACUAGAAAAACAGACAAACCAGGCGCUAUUCUGCCUUGGGUUCAUACCGUUGAGAAGCUGCUGGGCUGUGGUAAGAUGGCCCAAACCCUGCCUGCAGACACUGAGCCCUCCUGGAGGACUGAAAGGGCUGAAAGCAGAGUGAUUCAACCAGCAAGUAUUGGGCCCCACUAGUGAUAAGGCCAGGCAAGACACGGGCUUGUAUUUAUCCAGCACCUUUCUGCAUUUCAUCUGCGUUCACUGCAGGUUGUCAUCCAUGCAAACAUCUUAAAGAGCUUAUCCUUUAUCCAAACCACCCAUCUUUGGCCGUCGUGGAAGGGACACAGUCUUGUUGCAGCGCUGCCUGUGUGGCAGGUCCGUCACUGACGGUAAGGUGGAGCCUUCUCGGGGCUGCACAAACCAGGGUGGACCGCUUCCACUUCUAUCCCCGGUACACAGCAUUGCAUUUCUACGUGUGUGGAACUUAGUUAAAAUUUGGCUCGAGGCCUUGAAGAGGCUGAGUGGGAAGAAAGAGGCAUUGGAGGUUGGGUGGGGCACAGACUAAAACUGGACGGGCCUGGGUGGCGGGGAGCGGGUGGUGGCGCAUGUCCUUCCCCUCCUGCCCGGGUCAGGCAGAGGCUGUCUCAUCUGCAGUGGAAUCUAAUCAGCACUGUUUGGAUGGGGUCCAGGCUCUCGGCCACAGCUAAGGACUGCCAACCACAACCCAUCCUGAAAGGGUACCAGAUUUCUCUCUUUGCUCCUGGUGCAGACCUGCCUUGCAGGCCCAGAUAUGCCUCACCAGAGGGUCAGCUUCAGGGGCCUGGUCUCUCUUGUUCAUCCUAGUCCAACCCAGGCCUGGUACAGUACCCAGCCAUGCUCAAGAAAGGGUUAGUGAGGGCAAUGAUACGACAUGGACCUGGGCUCUGGGCAUUAAAGCACUUCUGCAAUUAGAGCAUUUGCCCACAUCAGGUUCUGUGUAUCAGUCAGGUUUCUGUAGUGGUGAUGCUACUUAACAAACCUAACGGCUCCGUGACCUAGAACAACCUUCACUUUCCAUUCGCAUGUUUGCAGGUGGACUCUAGAGGCUCUAUUUCAGGCUGUAGGUUGGGUUCAGCCUAAACCUACAUGGGUUGGCUCCAUGUGUGUCUCAUUCUGGGACCCAGACUGAAAGGGUUACUGGGGAAAACGCUCCUCCUGGAAGAUGGCAGGAGCACGAGGCAGGCAAACCACGUUAGCCUGUUGAAAGCUUGCUCACGUCGUGUCCACUAGCAUUCCGCUGGCUGAAGCAAGCCAAGGCCAGAGACAACCGGAUGGGGGUAGAAUCCCUCUCAGGGAAGCCUCAACAAGGACGGAGAAGGGAGAACUGUGUGCAGGUAUGCAAACUGCCACCUACAGGAGGCCCAGGAAGUGCCUCUGUGCCACAAGAAUGUCCCUGCCUUGGGAACUGAACCAGACGCCACUAAGUCUCCAGGCAGCGCUGAGACCGUGGGGGAGGGGAUCCUCUCCAGUGACUUUGUCUCUGCUCAACACUUAUAGAAAGAAGUUAUGCAUUAAAUUCAAUUACAGUCCUGCUGACUGAGGACUCUCUUAAGGUGACUCUGCCUCCUCAGCUCUGAUGCAGGAGGUCUAGAGUCACGAGGACAGAGCCCUCAUACACGGGGUUAUAAAAGUGCCCUAAUCGGAAUGAACCUGACCGGGGAGACGAAAGACUGCUAUGCUGAGAGCGGUAAAGCAUUGAUAAAGCAAACUGAAGAUGAUGUAAACAAGCGGAAAGACGUCUCAUGCUCUUGGAUUAGAAGAAUUCAUAUGGUUACAGUGGCCACACUCCCCAAAGCAAUCUUCAGGCUUAAUGUGAUUACUAUCAAAUUACCCAUGACAUUUUUCACAGAACUCGAACAAAUAAUUCUAAAGUUUAUAUGAAACCAUAGAGGACCCAGAAUUGCCACAGCAACCCUAAGGAAAAAGAACAAAGCUGGAGGCAUAACUUUCCCAGAGUUCAGACAAUGCUACAAAGCUAUAGUAAUCAAAACAGCAUGACACUGGCACAAAAACGGACAUAUGGAUCAAUGGAAUAGAAUAGAGAGCCCAGGAAUAAAAACGUGCACACCUACAGCCAGUUAAUCUUCGACAAAGGAGGCAAGAAUAUACAAUGGAGAAAAGACAGUCUUUUCAGCAAGUGAUGUUGGAGAAAUUGGACAGCCUCAUGUAAAUCAGUAAAAUUGGAACACUCCCUCACACCAGACAUAAAAAUAAACUCAAAAGACCUUAAAGACUUAACCAUAAGACCGGACACCAUAAAACUCAUAGAAGAGAACACAGGCGAAACAUUCUAUGAUGUAAGUUAUACCAGUGUUUUCUUAGGUCAGUCUCCCAAAGCAAUAGAAAUAAAAAAAUAAAUAAACAAAUGGGACCUCAUCAAACUUUCGAGCUUUUGCACAGCAAAAAUCAUAAAACUAAAAGACAACUUAUAGAAUGGGAAAAAAUAUUUACAAAUGACGUGACCAACAAGGACUUAAUUUCCAAAAUAUACACACAGCUCAUACUACUCAAUAACAGAAAACAAACAGCCCCAUCCAAAAAAUGGGUAGAAGACCUAAGCAGACAUUUCCCCCAAAAAUACAUACAGAGGUCUUUGUCGAAGGAGCCAGUAGACACAUGAAAAGAUGCUCACCAUCGCUAACUAUUAGAGAAAUGCAAAUCCAGACUUCAGUGAGGUACCGCCUCACAAUGGUCAGAAUGGCCAACAUUAAAAUGUCUACAAGGAGCUCCCUUAUGGCACAGCAGGUUAUGUAUCCGGCAUUGUCACCGCAGCAGCCUCAGUCACGGCCCUGGUGUGGUUUGAGCCCUGGCCUGGGAACUUUGGCAUGUGGCUCAGAGGGUUACAAGCCCAACUAGUAUCCAUGAAGACACUGGUUUGAUCCCUGGCCAUGCUUAGUGGGUUAAGGAAUCGGCAUUGCCAUCAGCUGUGGUGUAGGUCGCAGACACAGCUCAGACCCAGCAUUGCUGUGGCCGUGACUGUGGCUGUGGCAUAAGCUGGCAGCUGUAGCUCCGAUUCGACCCCUAGCCUGGCCUGGGAACUUCCAGAUGCC